This 731-nucleotide ribosomal RNA is filed under the name Salmonella enterica. RNAcentral describes it as "partial 23S ribosomal RNA". It matches the Rfam family "Bacterial large subunit ribosomal RNA", at positions 711 to 1438 of the family's 2925-position model. The record is from RNAcentral. RNAcentral also lists the same sequence under 1 other name. Lineage: Bacteria; Pseudomonadati; Pseudomonadota; Gammaproteobacteria; Enterobacterales; Enterobacteriaceae.
AGACCCGAAACCCGGUGAUCUAGCCAUGGGCAGGUUGAAGGUUGGGUAACACUAACUGGAGGACCGAACCGACUAAUGUUGAAAAAUUAGCGGAUGACCUGUGGCUGGGGGUGAAAGGCCAAUCAAACCGGGAGAUAGCUGGUUCUCCCCGAAAGCUAUUUAGGUAGCGCCUCGUGAAUUCAUCUCCGGGGGUAGAGCACUGUUUCGGCUAGGGGGCCAUCCCGGCUUACCAACCCGAUGCAAACUGCGAAUACCGGAGAAUGUUAUCACGGGAGACACACGGCGGGUGCUAACGUCCGUCGUGAAGAGGGAAACAACCCAGACCGCCAGCUAAGGUCCCAAAGUCAUGGUUAAGUGGGAAACGAUGUGGGAAGGCCCAGACAGCCAGGAUGUUGGCUUAGAAGCAGCCAUCAUUUAAAGAAAGCGUAAUAGCUCACUGGUCGAGUCGGCCUGCGCGGAAGAUGUAACGGGGCUAAACCAUGCACCGAAGCUGCGGCAGCGACGCUGAUGCGUUGUUGGGUAGGGGAGCGUUCUGUAAGCCUGCGAAGGUGGCCUGUGAGGGUUGCUGGAGGUAUCAGAAGUGCGAAUGCUGACAUAAGUAACGAUAAAGCGGGUGAAAAGCCCGCUCGCCGGAAGACCAAGGGUUCCUGUCCAACGUUAAUCGGGGCAGGGUGAGUCGACCCCUAAGGCGAGGCCGAAAGGCGUAGUCGAUGGGAAACGGGUUAAUAUUC